ACCGAGUGUAGGGUUCCUAGCGAGCCCAACCUCCCACCCGUGUUUACUGUACCUUAGUUGCUUCGGCGGGCCCGCCAUUCAUGGCCGCCGGGGGCUCUCAGCCCCGGGCCCGCGCCCGCCGGAGACACCACGAACUCUGUCUGAUCUAGUGAAGUCUGAGUUGAUUGUAUCGCAAUCAGUUAAAACUUUCAACAAUGGAUCUCUUGGUUCCGGCAUCGAUGAAGAACGCAGCGAAAUGCGAUAACUAGUGUGAAUUGCAGAAUUCCGUGAAUCAUCGAGUCUUUGAACGCACAUUGCGCCCCCUGGUAUUCCGGGGGGCAUGCCUGUCCGAGCGUCAUUGCUGCCCAUCAAGCACGGCUUGUGUGUUGGGUCGUCGUCCCCUCUCCGGGGGGGACGGGCCCCAAAGGCAGCGGCGGCACCGCGUCCGAUCCUCGAGCGUAUGGGGCUUUGUCACCCGCUCUGUAGGCCCGGCCGGCGCUUGCCGAACGCAAAUCAAUCUUUUUCCAGGUUGACCUCGGAUCAGGUAGGGAUACCCGCUGAACUUAAGCAUA
Molecule: ribosomal RNA, 551 nt
Filed under: Aspergillus oryzae
Lineage: Eukaryota; Fungi; Ascomycota; Eurotiomycetes; Eurotiales; Aspergillaceae
Description: eukaryotic LSU rRNA
Rfam family: 5.8S ribosomal RNA (bases 184-337)
Source: RNAcentral